Molecule: ribosomal RNA, 233 nt
Filed under: uncultured bacterium
Lineage: Bacteria
Description: partial 16S ribosomal RNA
Rfam family: Bacterial small subunit ribosomal RNA
Source: RNAcentral
GAUCAUGGCUCAGGACGAACGCUGGCGGCGUGCCUAACACAUGCAAGUCGAGCGAGAAUUUUUUUGAAGGAUUCCUUCGGGGAGAAUUCGAAAGAGGAGAGCGGCGGACGGGUGAGUAACGCGUGAGUAACCUGCCUUCAGGAGGGGGACAGCAUCUCGAAAGGGAUGCUAAUACCGCAUGAUAUUGAGGAUCCGCAUGGGUUCUUGAUCAAAGAUUUAUCGCCUGAAGAUGG